AGGGGCCUAAUCUGCAGUCGACGCUUCUUUCCUCCGAGUGCUUGCACUCAAUUGGAAAGAGGAGUGGCGGACGGGUGAGUAACACGUGGGUAACCUACCCAUCAGAGGGGGAUAACACUUGGAAACAGGUGCUAAUACCGCAUAACAGUUUAUGCCGCAUGGCAUAAGAGUGAAAGGCGCUUUCGGGUGUCGCUGAUGGAUGGACCCGCGGUGCAUUAGCUAGUUGGUGAGGUAACGGCUCACCAAGGCCACGAUGCAUAGCCGACCUGAGAGGGUGAUCGGCCACACUGGGACUGAGACACGGCCCAGACUCCUACGGGAGGCAGCAGUAGGGAAUCUUCGGCAAUGGACGAAAGUCUGACCGAGCAACGCCGCGUGAGUGAAGAAGGUUUUCGGAUCGUAAAACUCUGUUGUUAGAGAAGAACAAGGACGUUAGUAACUGAACGUCCCCUGACGGUAUCUAACCAGAAAGCCACGGCUAACUACGUGCCAGCAGCCGCGGUAAUACGUAGGUGGCAAGCGUUGUCCGGAUUUAUUGGGCGUAAAGCGAGCGCAGGCGGUUUCUUAAGUCUGAUGUGAAAGCCCCCGGCUCAACCGGGGAGGGUCAUUGGAAACUGGGAGACUUGAGUGCAGAAGAGGAGAGUGGAAUUCCAUGUGUAGCGGUGAAAUGCGUAGAUAUAUGGAGGAACACCAGUGGCGAAGGCGGCUCUCUGGUCUGUAACUGACGCUGAGGCUCGAAAGCGUGGGGAGCAAACAGGAUUAGAUACCCUGGUAGUCCACGCCGUAAACGAUGAGUGCUAAGUGUUGGAGGGUUUCCGCCCUUCAGUGCUGCAGCAAACGCAUUAAGCACUCCGCCUGGGGAGUACGACCGCAAGGUUGAAACUCAAAGGAAUUGACGGGGGCCCGCACAAGCGGUGGAGCAUGUGGGUUUAAUUCGAAGCAACGCGAAGAACCCUUACCAGGUCUUGACAUCCUUUGACCACUCUAGAGAUAGAGCUUUUCCCUUCGGGGACAAAGUGACAGGGUGGUGCAUGGUUUGUCGUCAGCCUCGUGUUCGGUGAAGAAUGUUUGGGGUUAAAGUCCCCGCAAACGGAGGCGGCAACCCCUUAUUU
RNAcentral lists this ribosomal RNA (1112 nucleotides) under Enterococcus faecalis. RNAcentral's name for it is "bacterial SSU rRNA". It matches the Rfam family "Bacterial small subunit ribosomal RNA", at positions 42 to 1111 of the family's 1533-position model. The record is from RNAcentral. Lineage: Bacteria; Bacillati; Bacillota; Bacilli; Lactobacillales; Enterococcaceae.